This is a non-coding RNA of Pelobates cultripes (western spadefoot toad), 276 nucleotides long. Lineage: Eukaryota; Metazoa; Chordata; Amphibia; Anura; Pelobatidae. The record is from the annotation of a GenBank genome assembly.
UUUACCAAAGAAAAUCCAACUGACCCUGUUGUGCUGCCAAAAGCAGAUUGUGUGAUUGACUUGUAUAUGCUGGGUGCCAUUUCAAAAGACUCAGACAGUUACCAUCAUAAUCUAAAGAUAAUAUCAUCUAUGCUUAAAUUAGGAGGGCACUUUUUAUUAUUUGGGUCAUUUAUUGCAUCACAUUAUAAAAUAUAUCAUAUCUUAAAUUUUUGCGAAGAGGACCUAAGAAGAGCUCUUAAAGAUUGUGGGUUUUCUACUGAGCGAAUGGAAGUUAGG